UAAUCACGGAAUCAGUAUUGCAGCGAUUGGUCAACAGAUGACAUGCAACGGUCCCGUGGCUCUGUUUAAAUUUAUACAAAUAAUAAUGAAUUACCAAAACAUCGAAUGUUGUGAACACACAAAUCGACUUUGUCAAGAAACAAGUAUACACACCAAAGCCUGAACGGAAAUAGCUGAAGCUACGCAAGAAAGGAAUUAUGUACCAAAAUUUGGUACGAAAUAGUCGAAUUUUUCUUGUUACUACCAACAUAGAACAUUCCUGCUUUUCCCACGAGUAGUUGAAAUUGCACUAGAAAGACCCAGUGUCACAUGGUGAACCCUUAUCAGUUAUAUAACUGACUUUAAAAUGCGUCAUCUCUAGAUAUAAUCCCAAUACAUACUGAUUUCCAUAAAAAUCCAAACACCUUGAAUUAGUUGACUGAUAAAACUGAAAGUUUCACUAAAUGUGCACUAAAUCGAACCAAAUACAUGAUUAAAAAAACAACAGGCCUAAAUCUUGUGAAAUAAAAAAUUUAUUCAAUAAUGUGUGGGUCCACCUUGAUUUCUAAUGCACUCAUAUACUCGGCGAAGCAUGCUUGAAAGAAGAUGGUUUAUGGUGUCCUGUGGGAUCUCGUCCCAAGCUUCCUGAAGUCACAUACGAAGGUCAUUUAAAUUAUUCGGGGGAUGCUGCAAGUUACCUAGACGUGUGCCCAUGAUAUCCCACACAUGUUCGAUUGGUGACAAAUCUGGUGAACGAACAGGGCAGGGAAGAGCUUGAACAUUAUGUCGGGAUUAAACCAACGCCUGAUAGAUAUGCUUGACCAAUAUAGAUGUGUUUAUUGCUUCGAUCAUGUCCACCCGGGAAUGCGUCUUUAUGUAUUUCGCCCAAAUAAUCGCGCCAGUACUCCCAACAUCAAAGGAUCAAAAUAGGAGAAAAAUUUAAUGUGUUUAAUAUGGUAAUUUCUUGUUGAGAAAUGGGGAUUUUGCAACUAAACUCCGCCCUUCAACUCACAAUGAAUAAAACAUU
This is a long non-coding RNA of Zophobas morio, 1006 nucleotides long. RefSeq lists it as uncharacterized. The transcript is spliced from 3 exons. The record is from RefSeq and is a predicted model, not a curated record. NCBI's taxonomy places the organism in Eukaryota, Metazoa, Arthropoda, Insecta, Coleoptera, Tenebrionidae.